AACAAACGCUGGCGGCGUGCCUAACACAUGCAAGUCGAACGAGAAAGUCGGUUUCGGCCGAUGAGUAAAGUGGCGCACGGGUGAGUAACGCGUGGAUAAUCUACCCUUUAGUCCGGAAUAACUUGCCGAAAGGUGAACUAAUACCGGAUGACAUCCCGGGUUCUCCGGAAACCGGGAUCAAAGAAGGCCUCUGCUUGCAAGCUUUUGCUGAAGGAUGAGUCCGCGUACCAUUAGCUAGUUGGUGGGGUAAUGGCCUACCAAGGUUAUGAUGGUUAGCUGGUCUGAGAGGAUGAUCAGCCACACUGGAACUGAAACACGGUCCAGACUCCUACGGGAGGCAGCAGUGAGGAAUAUUGCGCAAUGGGGGCAACCCUGACGCAGCAACGCCGCGUGAGUGAAGAAGGCCUCGGUUGUAAGACUCUUCGUCCGGAGGAAGUACGUGGUCUCUAACAUAGGCCAUGGAUGACGGUACCGGACGUAACGAAGACACCGGCUAACCUACGUGCC
RNAcentral lists this ribosomal RNA (507 nucleotides) under uncultured bacterium. Its description in RNAcentral is "bacterial SSU rRNA". It matches the Rfam family "Bacterial small subunit ribosomal RNA", at positions 29 to 509 of the family's 1533-position model. The record is from RNAcentral.